CGCCACAACCCUCUCCCACAUCCCGAUUCGAUCUGCGGGAAGCGCGAGGCCGACGAGAAGCGCACCAGCACCCCGCGCCGACCACGACUUCGCUGCAACGCUGACCACGACGCUACCCGUGCCGAACACCGCCGUCGCCGGAACGCCACUCUCCCUAACCGCCGGACGCGCGCCUCGCCGACCCCGACUUCCUCGCCUCCAUCCUUGACUCGAUUGACGUGAUGGCACCCGCCGGCACCAGCUUGUCCGCCCCGCCAACGACCAACGGUUCGAAUGCUAUGAACCUUUUGAAUGCCAUCCCAGAAUUAGAUGGCAGGAACUAUGGGAAGUGGUACCAGAAGCUAGAAAUCACUCUGGCGAUGGCCAACAUAGAUUCAGCCAUCAAUAUGCCUCAGCCAAAAGAACCAGAAAAGCCCGUGAGGGCUCAGAAUGAAACUGACGCUGCAUUUGCUGUUCGUUAGAAGAAAUAUGAUGAAGAAAAGACCUUGUAUGACAUUGAGAUGGCACCGUGGGCGGAUUCAAACCGCAAGUGCUUAAUGAUCAUUAAAGGUUCUAUCUCAGACCCCAUCAGAAUGGCAAUCACUGAUUGGCCCACCGCUGCAGAAUACCUCCAGAAAAUAAAGAGUCAGUUCACUGGCUCUUCCAAGGCUUAUGCUGCUACUCUUGCAGAGCAGCUAAUUACAAAGAAAUACAGUGGUGGUGGAAUCAGAGAGCACAUCCUAGAGAUGAGCCACAUGGCUAACAAGCUAAAGACAAUGGACAUGCCUUUGCCAGAACCGUUCCUUGUCCAGGUUGUUUUCAAGUCCCUUCCAAAGGAGUUUGCGACAUUUCAUGUCAAUUACAACACCUUUCCAGAAAACUGGGACAUUGAGAAGCUGAUUGCCAUAUGUGUUCAGGAAGAAAAAAGGCUAAAAAACGCCAAUGGUGGUGGUGAACUUGUCUUCCAAGUCCAGUACCAGAAGAAAAAGAACCCCCAAAAGAAUUACCAGAACUACAAGAAGCCCUUCCCGCCAAGCAAGAAUCAGCAUGAAAGUGGUCCUUUCAAACCACCUCCACGCGAAAUUGAUUGGUCAACAUUCCCAGUUGAUAAAGACCAGUGCCUCAAAUGCAAAAAAAAAGGUACUACAAGAGGGAAUGCCCAGAGUUUCUGAAGGAGCUGUUAAGAAAUGGGAACAAGUAUGAGCCGGACCCUGCCAAGAGGAGGAAGAAGAAUUAAAGUGACAAACGGUGUAGAAGCUGAAGUUGAAGCCAUCGCAGAAUUUCAUUUAGAAUUACAUAGUGGCUUUGUACUUCAUUUGAAAGAUGUUCUUUAUGUACCGUCGUUGCAAAGAAACUUAAUUAGUGUGUCUAAGUUGGAUGAUGAUUUGAUUGCUUGUCAUUUUGGAGAUGGCAAGUGUGAGAUACACUUUAAUAAAGAAUGUGCUGGUCUUGCCUUCCGACAAGACAAGUUGUACUUA
Long non-coding RNA from Panicum virgatum (switchgrass), 1457 nucleotides. RefSeq lists it as uncharacterized. The record is from RefSeq and is a predicted model, not a curated record. The transcript is spliced from 3 exons. NCBI's taxonomy places the organism in Eukaryota, Viridiplantae, Streptophyta, Magnoliopsida, Poales, Poaceae.